This 1334-nucleotide ribosomal RNA is filed under the name uncultured bacterium. RNAcentral describes it as "16S ribosomal RNA". It matches the Rfam family "Bacterial small subunit ribosomal RNA", at positions 28 to 1387 of the family's 1533-position model. The record is from RNAcentral.
GAUGAACGCUGGCGGCGCGCCUAACACAUGCAAGUCGAACGGCACCUAUCUUCGGAUAGAAGCGAGUGGCGAACGGCUGAGUAACACGUGGAGAACCUGCCCCCUCCCCCGGGAUAGCCGCCCGAAAGGACGGGUAAUACCGGAUACCCCGGGGUGCCGCAUGGCGCCCCGGCUAAAGCCCCGACGGGAGGGGAUGGCUCCGCGGCCCAUCAGGUAGACGGCGGGGUGACGGCCCACCGUGCCGACAACGGGUAGCCGGGUUGAGAGACCGACCGGCCAGAUUGGGACUGAGACACGGCCCAGACUCCUACGGGAGGCAGCAGUGGGGAAUCUUGCGCAAUGGGGGGAACCCUGACGCAGCGACGCCGCGUGCGGGACGGAGGCCUUCGGGUCGUAAACCGCUUUCAGCAGGGAAGAGUCAAGACUGUACCUGCAGAAGAAGCCCCGGCUAACUACGUGCCAGCAGCCGCGGUAAUACGUAGGGGGCGAGCGUUAUCCGGAUUCAUUGGGCGUAAAGCGCGCGUAGGCGGCCCGGCAGGCCGGGGGUCGAAGCGGGGGGCUCAACCCCCCGAAGCCCCCGGAACCUCCGCGGCUUGGGUCCGGUAGGGGAGGGUGGAACACCCGGUGUAGCGGUGGAAUGCGCAGAUAUCGGGUGGAACACCGGUGGCGAAGGCGGCCCUCUGGGCCGAGACCGACGCUGAGGCGCGAAAGCUGGGGGAGCGAACAGGAUUAGAUACCCUGGUAGUCCCAGCCGUAAACAAUGGACGCUUGGGGGGGGGGGGGGAUCCCCCCCCUGCCGCAGCCAACACAUAAAGAGUCCCGCCUGGGGAGUACGGCCGCAAGGCUAAAACUCAAAGGAAUUGACGGGGGCCCGCACAAGCAGCGGAGCAUGUGGUUUAAUUCGAAGCAACGCGAAGAACCUUACCAGGGCUUGACAUAUGGGUGAAGCGGGGGAGACCCCGUGGCCGAGAGGAGCCCAUACAGGUGGUGCAUGGCUGUCGUCAGCUCGUGUCGUGAGAUGUUGGGUUAAGUCCCGCAACGAGCGCAACCCCCGCCGCGUGUUGCCAUCGGGUGAUGCCGGGAACCCACGCGGGACCGCCGCCGUCAAGGCGGAGGAGGGCGGGGACGACGUCAAGUCAUCAUGCCCCUUAUGCCCUGGGCUGCACACGUGCUACAAUGGCCGGUACAGAGGGAUGCCACCCCGCGAGGGGGAGCGGAUCCCGGAAAGCCGGCCCCAGUUCGGAUUGGGGGGUGCAACCCGCCCCCACGAAGUCGGAGUUGCUAGUAAUCGCGGAUCAGCAUGCCGCGGUGAAUGAAUUGCCGGGCCUUGCACA